UGCAAGUCGAGCGGUAGCACAGGAGAGCUUGCUCUCGGGUGACGAGCGGCGGACGGGUGAGUACUGUCUGGGAAACUGCCUGAUGGAGGGGGAUAACUACUGGAAACGGUAGCUAAUACCGCAUAACGUCGCAAGACCAAAGUGGGGGACCUUCGGGCCUCUUGCCAUCGAAUGUGCCCAGAUGGGAUUAGCUAUUAUGUGGGGUAACGGCUCACCUAGGCGACCAUCCCUAGCUGGUCUGAGAGGAUGACCACCCACACUGGAACUGAGACACGGUCCUCACUCCUACGGGAGGCAGCAGUGGGGAAUAUUGCACAAUGGGCGCAAGCCUGAUGCAUCCAUGCCGCGUGUGUGAAGAAGGCCUUCGGGUUGUAAAGCACUUUCGGCGGGGAGGAAGGCGAUGAGGUUAAUAACCUUGUCGAUUGACGUUACCCGCAAAACAAGCACCGGCUAACUCCGUGCCACCAGCCGCGGUAAUACGGAGGGUGCAAGCGUUAAUCGGAAUUACUGGGCGUAAAGCGCACGCAGGCGGUCUGUCAAGUCGGAUGUGAAAUCCCCGGGCUCAACCUGGGAACUGCAUUCGAAACUGAGCAGGCUAGAGUCUUGUAGAGGGGGGUAUAAUUCCAGGUGUAGCGAUGAAAUGCGAUAUAGAUCUGGAGGACUACCGGCUGAACGAAGGCGGCCCCGCCUGUGACUACUGACUGCACGACUCAGGUGCGAAGAGCGUGAGGAGCAAAGCAUGA
Molecule: ribosomal RNA, 743 nt
Filed under: Klebsiella pneumoniae
Lineage: Bacteria; Pseudomonadati; Pseudomonadota; Gammaproteobacteria; Enterobacterales; Enterobacteriaceae
Description: bacterial SSU rRNA
Rfam family: Bacterial small subunit ribosomal RNA
Source: RNAcentral